Molecule: ribosomal RNA, 370 nt
Filed under: Alisimitra deforgesi
Lineage: Eukaryota; Metazoa; Mollusca; Gastropoda; Neogastropoda; Costellariidae
Description: partial 12S ribosomal RNA
Source: RNAcentral
UCUUGGAAGUAAAAAGAGGAAUCUACCGGAGUACUAUGAAUCAAAAAUUUAAAACUCAAAGGGCUUGGCGGUACUUUAGACCUCUUAGGGGAACCUGUCUCAUAAUCGACAAUCCACGUUAUACCUAACCUCUUCUUGCAUACAAUUUGUAUACCGUCGUCGUCAGGUAACUUUUAAAAACUCUAUAGUUAGCAGAUAAACUUCAAUAAGUUUAAACGUCAGAUCAAGGUGCAAUUAAUGAAAAGGUCGGGAUGGGUUACAAUUAUAUGUUAAUAGUAAUACGGAAAAUUGGCUGAAAUACCAUUUUAAAAGGAGGACUUGAAAGUAAAAACAUUUAUAUAUAUGGAUUGAAUAAGGCUCUGAAGCGUGC